This 253-nucleotide unclassified non-coding RNA is filed under the name uncultured Alphaproteobacteria bacterium. RNAcentral describes it as "contains 16S-23S intergenic spacer region". It matches the Rfam family "Bacterial small subunit ribosomal RNA", at positions 524 to 776 of the family's 1533-position model. Lineage: Bacteria; Pseudomonadati; Pseudomonadota; Alphaproteobacteria. The record is from RNAcentral.
UACGAAGGGGGCGAGCGUUGUUCGGAAUCACUGGGCUUAAAGCGUGCGUAGGCGGAUUUGCAAGUCAGGAGUGAAAUCCAGGGGCUUAACCCCUGAACUGCUUUUGAAACUGCAUGUCUAGAAUCCUGGAGAGGUUGGGGGAAUUCCGAGUGUAGAGGUGAAAUUCGCAGAUAUUCGGAGGAACACCAGUGGCGUAGGCGCCCAACUGGACAGGUAUUGACGCUGAGGCACGAAAGCGUGGGGAGCAAACAGG